GCGAUAAGCAAUGCGAAUUGCAGAACCGUGAGUCAUCAGAUUUUUGAACGCAACUGGCGCCGGCGGGCUGCUCCUGCCGGCAUGCUUGUUUCAGUGUCUCCUUUCUCCCUCACCCAAAUCUUAAUGCGAGAGAUGCCCUUCUCUUGUCAAACGCGAAAGCACUCUGUCUUGCGAGCGGCCCUCCUUUGGGCCGCAACUCGAUGCAGCGGUCACAUUGCUCACAAUGUGAACUCAUUGAGAAGCAGCGACAGCGGGCAGAGGCGUACCGUCCCUGCCGAGUGCUUGUCACCCAAACUUCAUCUGCAUCUGAACUCAAGCAGGACCACCCGCGUGAACUUAAGCAUAUCAAUAAGCGGAGGA
This 360-nucleotide small RNA is filed under the name uncultured fungus. Its description in RNAcentral is "eukaryotic LSU rRNA". The stretch from base 1 to 99 matches the Rfam family "5.8S ribosomal RNA", at positions 55 to 154 of the family's 154-position model. The record is from RNAcentral. Lineage: Eukaryota; Fungi.